CAGUGGCCCAGAUCGUUUACCGUGAAAAAAUUAGAGUGUUCAAAGCAGGCAGAUCCAAUUUUCUGCCMCCGAAYACAUUAGCAUGGGAUAAUGGAAUAGGACCCUGUCCUCCUAUUUUCAGUUGGUUUUGGCAGCGCGAGGACUAGGGUAAUGAUUAAUAGGGAUASUUGGGGGCAUUAAUAUUUAAUUGUCAGAGGUGAAAUUCUUGGAUUUAUGAAAGAUUAACUUCUGYGAAAGCAUCUGCCAAGGAUGUUUUCAUUAAUCAAGAACGAAAGUUAGGGGAUCGAAGACGAUCAGAUACYGUYGUAGUCUUAACCAUAAACGAUGCCGACCAGCGAUUAGGAGACGUUGAAUACAACCACCACCAUCGGCGCGGUCGCCCUUGGCGUYGCGUUCACGCGCGGCGCGAGGACGGUASCCCCCGGGAMCCCCCYC
RNAcentral lists this ribosomal RNA (435 nucleotides) under Acanthamoeba sp. RNAcentral's name for it is "partial 18S ribosomal RNA". It matches the Rfam family "Eukaryotic small subunit ribosomal RNA", at positions 747 to 1092 of the family's 1831-position model. Lineage: Eukaryota; Discosea; Longamoebia; Acanthamoebidae. The record is from RNAcentral.